UGUCAGAGUCAGCGAGUGGCUGCUG
RNAcentral lists this non-coding RNA (25 nucleotides) under Mus musculus (house mouse). The record is from RNAcentral. Lineage: Eukaryota; Metazoa; Chordata; Mammalia; Rodentia; Muridae.